UACCUGCUGGAACUUAAGCAUAUCAAUAAGCGGAGGAAAAGAAACUAACAAGGAUUCCCCUAGUAACUGCGAGUGAAGCGGGAAGAGCUCAAAUUUAAAAUCUGGCGUGCCUCUGGCCGCCCGAGUUGUAGUCUGGAGAAGCGUUUUCCGUGUUGGACCGUGUAUAAGUCUCUUGGAACAGGGCGUCAUAGAGGGUGAGAAUCCCGUCUUUGACACGGACUACCAAUGCUUUGUGAUGCGCUCUCAAAGAGUCGAGUUGUUUGGGAAUGCAGCUCAAAAUGGGUGGUAAAUUCCAUCUAAAGCUAAAUAUAGGCGAGAGACCGAUAGCGAACAAGUACCGUGAGGGAAAGAUGAAAAGCACUUUGGAAAGAGAGUUAAACAGUACGUGAAAUUGCUGAAAGGGAAACGCUUGAAGUCAGUCAUGUUUGCCAGGACUCAGCCUUGCUUCUGCUUGGUGCACUUUCUGGUUUGAUGGGCCAACAUCAAUUUCGACCGUUGGAGAAAGGCUUUGGGAACGUGGCACCUUCGGGUGUGUUAUAGCCCUUUGUUGUAUACAACGGUUGGGAUUGAGGACCGCAGCACGCCUUCAUGGCCGGGGUUCGUCCCACGUACGUGCUUACGAUGUUGGCAUAAUGGCUUUAAGCGACCCGUCUUG
RNAcentral lists this ribosomal RNA (655 nucleotides) under Tomentella sp. RNAcentral describes it as "LSU rRNA". It matches the Rfam family "Eukaryotic large subunit ribosomal RNA", at positions 22 to 656 of the family's 3401-position model. The record is from RNAcentral. Lineage: Eukaryota; Fungi; Basidiomycota; Agaricomycetes; Thelephorales; Thelephoraceae.